RNAcentral lists this ribosomal RNA (253 nucleotides) under uncultured bacterium. RNAcentral describes it as "partial 16S ribosomal RNA". It matches the Rfam family "Bacterial small subunit ribosomal RNA", at positions 524 to 776 of the family's 1533-position model. The record is from RNAcentral.
UACGUAGGUGGCAAGCGUUGUCCGGAUUUACUGGGCGUAAAGAGCGCGCAGGCGGUCGUUCAAGUCGGGUGUGAAAGCCCCCGGCUCAACUGGGGAGGGUCACGCGAUACUGAUCGACUCGAAGGCAGGAGAGGGAAGUGGAAUUCCUGGUGUAGCGGUGGAAUGCGCAGAUAUCAGGAGGAACACCGAUGGCGAAGGCAGUUCUCUGGGCCGUAACUGACGCUGAGGAGCGAAAGCGUGGGGAGCGAACAGG